RNAcentral lists this ribosomal RNA (443 nucleotides) under uncultured bacterium. Its description in RNAcentral is "partial 16S ribosomal RNA". It matches the Rfam family "Bacterial small subunit ribosomal RNA", at positions 338 to 795 of the family's 1533-position model. The record is from RNAcentral.
CCUACGGGAGGCAGCAGUGGGGAAUAUUGGGCAAUGGGCGCAAGCCUGACCCAGCAACGCCGCGUGAAGGAAGAAGGCUUUCGGGUUGUAAACUUCUUUUAACAGGGACGAAGCAAGUGACGGUACCUGAUGAAUAAGCCACGGCUAACUACGUGCCAGCAGCCGCGGUAAUACGUAGGUGGCAAGCGUUAUCCGGAUUUAAGGGGUGUAAAGGGCGGGUAGGCGGGAGUGCAAGUCAGAUGGGAAAACUAUGGGCUCAACCCAUAUCCUGCAUUUGAAACUGUACUUCUUGAGUGCUGGAGAGGCAAGCGGAAUUCCGGGUGUAGCGGUGAAAUGCGUAGAUAUACGGAGGAACACCAGUUGCGAAGGCAGAUUGCUGGACCGUAACUGACGCUGAGGCGCGAAAGCGUGGGGAGCAAACAGGAUUAGAUACCCCGGUAGUC